Molecule: long non-coding RNA, 637 nt
Organism: Cyphomyrmex costatus
Lineage: Eukaryota; Metazoa; Arthropoda; Insecta; Hymenoptera; Formicidae
Exons: 2
Source: RefSeq, a predicted model, not a curated record
UUAUAACCGAGACAAUCUGAUUUGACUUCAACCUCAACGUAAUUUGGCUCCACACCCUUUUUCGGCAGAGAAUCGUCAAAAUUACUAAAUUCCAAAUGGGGUGGGGCUUGGCAAGGACGCAUUGCCCGAAUAACGGCAGCCAUGGUGCAUCGUCGCAAGUGCAGAAAUCCGCUCCAUCAAAACAAGUUCUGUCAGCGUGCCCUCCCAUCAUAACGGCCGCAGUGAAGUCCACUUGUGGAGCAAGACGGAUGCUCGUUUCUGUCAUCAUUCUGAUCUUUUUGCUGGCCGCUAUAUAUUGGGUAUCUCUGCGCCAAACGAGCCCCACCGUACGUCGACCAAUGAGAAUUCAACCUUCGCGAAAUACCACGCCGGAGCAAACAGGGGAAACGGCUCAGAGAUAGAGGUAAUCAGCAUUGAAAGAAGAAAGAAAAAAAAAAAAAUCCGAAGUAACGAUCCAUAUGGACUUGCAUUUCCAGGCAAUACGCUGCACUGCAUUUCAUCGCCGGACACUGAUACUGUAUAUCAUAGUAGCAGCUGUGGUACAAUGUAUCGUAUAAAAAACAACCAAUCCUUUAAGUCUAAUAAGCUGUCUGAAAACCGAAGAAAUACAAUAAUAAAAUGUUUAUACUGACACGUA